GUUCUUGAAGCAGCCUUGCCGUCGGCCCGGGCCUGGGAGGCCAGGCGGCCAUGGAACGUGGUCCUGGCGGGUGUUUGUGUGCAGGGGGCACCCUCCCUGCGUGCACGCCUGGCCUCGUGGGGCAGGAUUCGGGGCGUUUCUACUGUGAGGGCUCCUCCAGGGACCUGCUCCUUAGCAAGGGGCCCUGGCGGCGGAGGCCCUGGGGCGUCAGGCUCCAGCCCUGCAGGGCCCGCCCGGGCUGCCACACACCCGCUGCACCCUGCUCGGCAUCCCAGCUGCCCUGUCCCCCGUCCUCUGCGGCAGGAAGGCCUGCGGAUCGCCCGGCAGGGACUGCGGUGUAGACACAGAUCCAGGGGUGCAGGAUGGGCCGUCCCUGCACAUGGUCCCUGCGCGCUGGCUUCCGCCACCAUUGUCUCCGAGUCCCCCCGCCCCCCCUGCCCCCCAGCGCUGCGUCCAGGGUGGGAGCCUCGGCCAGGGUGUGUCCCACCCGGUGCUGGCCUGCCCUCCGGCCCUCCUGCCCCCACCCCGCCGCAUCUACUCCCUGCCGCCCCGGCACAUCCCAGGGUCCCGGGCCCUGUGCACCCGCCUGGCUCUGGGGGGCCUCCUGUGCCUGCCCCUUACUGCUUCCCCCCCUUUGCAGCAGUUUCCCUCCAGCCUCCUGUUCAAGGCCACGGGGACCCGUUACAAUGCUCUCUUUAUUCGAUGCAAACACAAGCGAUCAAUUGGCUUAUGGGUUUCCAGGUCUGUGCACGUAAAGAAGCAGCAGGGAAAGGGGCAGAAAAGGUUAAUCUGAACUUUCCCGGAAGUGACUUAAUACUUGAACGUUUGGAUUCGUGGGUACCCAUGUGUGACGUCGAGCUUCCCACGUACUCGGGCUCCACCAACCGCUGCGGGGCAGACCCUGUCUCGGCACAAGCAAGUGAGGAACGACACCUGCGCUUCCCAGACAGGAGGGGAGGCCAGAGGGGCUGUUUGCAGAACACCUGUGUGCGGAGGGGCGUGGACGCCCUGCUGGGAGCCGCGCUCCUGCCUCGGCACCAACGUGUGACCCGGGGCACAGGAGCCCCGCUGAAGGUGGUUAGAAUGCGGUGUCGGCCCUGA
Molecule: long non-coding RNA, 1101 nt
Filed under: Canis lupus familiaris (dog)
Lineage: Eukaryota; Metazoa; Chordata; Mammalia; Carnivora; Canidae
Description: lncRNA (ENSCAFG00000056943.1, ENSCAFG00845027666.1)
Source: RNAcentral